This 490-nucleotide ribosomal RNA is filed under the name uncultured bacterium. RNAcentral's name for it is "partial 16S ribosomal RNA". It matches the Rfam family "Bacterial small subunit ribosomal RNA", at positions 29 to 507 of the family's 1533-position model. The record is from RNAcentral.
AGUGAACGCUGGCGGUAGGCCUAACACAUGCAAGUCGAACGGCAGCACAGGAGAGCUUGCUCUCUAGGUGGCGAGUGGCGGACGGGUGAGGAAUACAUCGGAAUCUGCCCAGUCGUGGGGGAUAACGUAGGGAAACUUACGCUAAUACCGCAUACGACCUUCGGGUGAAAGAGGGGGAUCGCAAGACCUCUCGCGAUUGGAUGAGCCGAUGUCGGAUUAGCUAGUUAGCGGGGUAAUGGCCCACCAAGGCGACGAUCCGUAGCUGGUCUGAGAGGAUGAUCAGCCACACUGGAACAGAGACACGGUCCAGACUCCUACGGGAGGCAGCAGUGGUGAAUAUUGGACAAUAGGCGCAAGCCUGAUCCAGCCAGACCGCGUGGGUGAAGGAGGCCUUCGGGUUGUAAAGCCCUUUUGUUGGGAAAGAAAUCUUUCAGGCUAAAACCCUGGGAGGAUGACGGUACCCAAAGAAUAAGCACCGGCUAACUACGUG